Prunus persica (peach) is the source of this 515-nucleotide long non-coding RNA. RefSeq lists it as uncharacterized. Lineage: Eukaryota; Viridiplantae; Streptophyta; Magnoliopsida; Rosales; Rosaceae. The record is from RefSeq and is a predicted model, not a curated record. The transcript is spliced from 2 exons.
UAGCCAGCUAGGGACACAUUUAUAUGCUUCAAUGAUGAGAGGCACGUUCAUAAUCCUCAUGUUUGCUGUGGGAACUUGGAUCAGUUCUGCUCAUGCAAGGGCUUUGAUAGAUCAAAGUCCUUCCAAGCAUCCCCCGUCUUCUUUCCUUGGUACAGAAAACAUUGGAAGUAAGUUUUUCGUGACCAAGACAGGUUUGAAUGGAAAUUAUACCCGAAGGUCCAAAUCCCCGCCUCCUCCGCCCAAAGCAGCACCAACACCAAAGCAAACACCGACGAUCGCCAAUAUACUCGAGAAAUCUCCUCCGAGCAGUCGAUACAUAUCUUCAGCUUGAGGGAGAUAGUGGACGAUGGAAUAAUGGAGUCAGUGUAAAUGUGUGAUAUAAAUUAGUCUUCCAAGUUUAUCAGUACGUAAUUUCAAUUUUAAGGUGUGUUUAAUUAGUUUGAUGUCUUGUUUGUGCUUCAGCCAUGUUUAAUAAAGUUAAUACAUAAACCUCGCUGAGUUUAAUUCAUGGCGCA